Molecule: ribosomal RNA, 253 nt
Filed under: uncultured bacterium
Lineage: Bacteria
Description: partial 16S ribosomal RNA
Rfam family: Bacterial small subunit ribosomal RNA
Source: RNAcentral
UACGAAGGGGGCUAGCGUUGCUCGGAAUCACUGGGCGUAAAGCGCACGUAGGCGGAUUGCUAAGUCAGGGGUGAAAUCCUGGAGCUCAACUCCAGAACUGCCUUUGAUACUGGCGGUCUCGAGUCCGGGAGAGGUGAGUGGAACUGCGAGUGUAGAGGUGAAAUUCGUAGAUAUUCGCAAGAACACCAGUGGCGAAGGCGGCUCACUGGCCCGGUACUGAUGCUGAGGUGCGAAAGCGUGGGGAGCAAACAGG